This 796-nucleotide ribosomal RNA is filed under the name uncultured archaeon. RNAcentral's name for it is "bacterial SSU rRNA". It matches the Rfam family "Archaeal small subunit ribosomal RNA", at positions 85 to 879 of the family's 1478-position model. The record is from RNAcentral.
ACUGCUCAGUAACACGUGGAUAACCUGCCCUUGGGUCCGGCAUAACCCCGGGAAACUGGGGAUAAUUCCGGAUAACGCAUAUAUGCUGGAAUGCCUUAUGCGUAAAAUGGAUUCGUCUGCCCAAGGAUGGGUCUGCGGCCUAUCAGGUAGUAGUGGGUGUAAUGUACCUACUAGCCGACAACGGGUACGGGUUGUGAGAGCAAGAGCCCGGAGAUGGAUUCUGAGACAUGAAUCCAGGCCCUACGGGGCGCAGCAGGCGCGAAAACUUUACAAUGCGGGAAACCGUGAUAAGGGGACACCGAGUGCCAGCAUCAUAUGCUGGCUGUCCAGGUGUGCAAACUACACCUGUUAGCAAGGGCCGGGCAAGACCGGUGCCAGCCGCCGCGGUAACACCGGCGGCCCGAGUGGUGAUCGUGAUUAUUGGGUCUAAAGGGUCCGUAGCCGGUUUGGUCAGUCCUCCGGGAAAUCUGACGGCUCAACCGUUAGGCUUUCGGGGGAUACUGCCAGGCUUGGAACCGGGAGAGGUAAGAGGUACUACAGGGGUAGGAGUGAAAUCUUGUAAUCCCUGUGGGACCACCUGUGGCGAAGGCGUCUUACCAGAACGGGUUCGACGGUGAGGGACGAAAGCUGGGGGCACGAACCGGAUUAGAUACCCGGGUAGUCCCAGCCGUAAACGAUGCUCGCUAGGUGUCAGGCAUGGCGCGACCGUGUCUGGUGCCGCAGGGAAGCCGUGAAGCGAGCCACCUGGGAAGUACGGCCGCAAGGCUGAAACUUAAAGGAAUUGGCGGGGGAGCAC